Molecule: ribosomal RNA, 1000 nt
Filed under: Microbacterium sp. L6-25
Lineage: Bacteria; Bacillati; Actinomycetota; Actinomycetes; Micrococcales; Microbacteriaceae
Description: bacterial SSU rRNA
Rfam family: Bacterial small subunit ribosomal RNA
Source: RNAcentral
GUGGGGGUUGGAAAGAUUUUUCGGUCUGGGAUGGGCUCGCGGCCUAUCAGCUUGUUGGUGAGGUAAUGGCUCACCAAGGCGUCGACGGGUAGCCGGCCUGAGAGGGUGACCGGCCACACUGGGACUGAGACACGGCCCAGACUCCUACGGGAGGCAGCAGUGGGGAAUAUUGCACAAUGGGCGGAAGCCUGAUGCAGCAACGCCGCGUGAGGGAUGACGGCCUUCGGGUUGUAAACCUCUUUUAGCAGGGAAGAAGCGAGAGUGACGGUACCUGCAGAAAAAGCGCCGGCUAACUACGUGCCAGCAGCCGCGGUAAUACGUAGGGCGCAAGCGUUAUCCGGAAUUAUUGGGCGUAAAGAGCUCGUAGGCGGUUUGUCGCGUCUGCUGUGAAAUCCCGAGGCUCAACCUCGGGCCUGCAGUGGGUACGGGCAGACUAGAGUGCGGUAGGGGAGAUUGGAAUUCCUGGUGUAGCGGUGGAAUGCGCAGAUAUCAGGAGGAACACCGAUGGCGAAGGCAGAUCUCUGGGCCGUAACUGACGCUGAGGAGCGAAAGGGUGGGGAGCAAACAGGCUUAGAUACCCUGGUAGUCCACCCCGUAAACGUUGGGAACUAGUUGUGGGGACCAUUCCACGGUUUCCGUGACGCAGCUAACGCAUUAAGUUCCCCGCCUGGGGAGUACGGCCGCAAGGCUAAAACUCAAAGGAAUUGACGGGGACCCGCACAAGCGGCGGAGCAUGCGGAUUAAUUCGAUGCAACGCGAAGAACCUUACCAAGGCUUGACAUACACCAGAACACCGUAGAAAUACGGGACUCUUUGGACACUGGUGAACAGGUGGUGCAUGGUUGUCGUCAGCUCGUGUCGUGAGAUGUUGGGUUAAGUCCCGCAACGAGCGCAACCCUCGUUCUAUGUUGCCAGCACGUAAUGGUGGGAACUCAUGGGAUACUGCCGGGGUCAACUCGGAAGAAAGGUGGGGAUGACGUCAAAUCAUCAUGCCCCUUAU